Anopheles funestus (African malaria mosquito) is the source of this 6815-nucleotide long non-coding RNA. RefSeq lists it as uncharacterized. The record is from RefSeq and is a predicted model, not a curated record. NCBI's taxonomy places the organism in Eukaryota, Metazoa, Arthropoda, Insecta, Diptera, Culicidae. The transcript is spliced from 3 exons.
ACUCAUUGCAACCCAUUGGAAUUAAAAUAAAACAAUUUUAUUUUUUUUGCAAAAUUUCUCAAAAAAAUCGUAAGGGGUAAGCCUUAUGAAAUUUUCGAGUGAAAAAUUUUUUUGAAUUUUUUUUCUGAUUUUUUAUUCUUUUUUUAAUUUAAAGCAUAAUUUGAGUGAAAAGAAACUUAUUGCAACAAAUUCCCAUUAAAAUAUAUCACAUUUAAAAAUUUUGCUGAAUUGCAGAAAAAUGAGGAAAAUUUUACAUUUUCUCAAACAGGGUAAGGAACUUGGUUCCUCGAAUAACUUCUGGCACAGACAUCUGAGGGCAUGGCCGUCCAAGAAGAAAAUGUAGCCAUUGGUGCCAUCUAUCAACCACAGGUUAAAGAUUGGCGAUCCGUUGGAUACCGACCGAGUUAUAGGCAAAAGUUGGUGCAAAAAUGAAGAAAAUUUUACAUUUUCUCAAACAGGGUAAGGAACUUGGUUCCUCGAAUAACUUCUGGCACAGACAUCUGAGGGCAUGGCCGUCCAAGAAGAAAAUGUAGCCAUUGGUGCCAUCUAUCGACCACAGGUUGAAGAUUAGCGAUCCGUUGGAUACCGACCGAGUUAUAGGCAAAAGUUGGUGCAAAAAUGAGCCUUAUAAAAAUUUCAAAUUUUUAUAUUUUGUUAAUUUUUUAUAAUUUUUUAUUAUUUUUUUGUUUGGAACAUUAUUUGAGUGAAAAGAAACUUAUUGCAACCAAUUGGUAUUAAAAUAAAACAAUUUUAUUUUUUUUGCAAAAUUUCUCAAAAAAAUCGUAAGGGGUAAGCCUUAUGAAAUUUUCGAGUGAAAAUUUUUUUUGAAUUUUUUUUCUGAUUUUUUAUUCUUUUUUUAAUUUAAAGCAUUAUUUGAGUGAAAAGAAACUUAUUGCAACAAAUUCCCAUUAAAAUAUAUCACAUUUAAAAUUUUUGCUGAAUUUCAGAAAAUUGAGGUAAAUUUUACAUUUUCUCAAACAGGGUAAGGAACUUGGUUCCUCGAAUAACUUCUGGCACAGACAUCUGAGGGCAUGGCCGUCCAAGAAGAAAAUGUAGCCAUUGGUGCCAUCUAUCGACCACAAGUUAAAGAUUGGCGAUUCGUUGGAUACCGACCGAGUUAUAGGCAAAAGUUGGUGCAAAAAUGAAGAAAAUUUUACAUUUUCUCAAACAGGGUGAGGAACUUGGUUCCUCGAAUAACUUCUGGCACAGACAUCUGAGGGCAUAGCCGUCCAAGAAGAAAAUGUAGCCAUUGGUGCCAUCUAUCGACCACAGGUUGAAGAUUAGCGAUCCGUUGGAUACCGACCGAGUUAUAGGCAAAAGUUGGCGCAAAAAUGAGCCUUAUAAAAAUUUCAAAUUUUUAUAUUUUGUUAAUUUUUUAUAAUUUUUUAUUAUUUUUUUGUUUGAAACAUUAUUUGAGUGAAAAGAAACUUAUUGCAACCAAUUGGCAUUAAAAUAAAACAAUUUUAUUUUUUUUGCAAAAUUUCUCAAAAAAAUCGUAAGGGGUAAGCCUUAUGAAAUUUUCGAGUGAAAUUUUUUUUUGAAAUUUUUUUCUGAUUUUGUAUUAUUUUUUUAAUUUAAAGCAUUAUUUGAGUGAAAAGAAACUUAUUGCAACAAAUUCCCAUUAAAAUAUAUCACAUUUAAAAAUUUUGCUGAAUUGCAGAAAAAUGAGGAAAAUUUUACAUUUUCUCAAACAGGGUAAGGAACUUGGUUCCUCGAAUAACUUCUGGCACAGACAUCUGAGGGCAUGGCCGUCCAAGAAGAAAAUGUAGCCAUUGGUGCCAUCUAUCGACCACAGGUGAAAGAUUGGCGAUCCGUUGGAUACCGACCGAGUUAUAGGCAAAAUUUGGUGCAAAAAUGAGCAAAAUUUUCAUUUUUUUUUUGAAUUUUCUGAUUUUUUUAUUAUUUUUCACUCUUUUUUUUAUUUCAAGCACUAUUUGAGUGAAAAGAAACUCAUUGCAACCCAUUGGAAUUAAAAUAAAACAAUUUAAUUUUUUUUGCAAAAUUUCUCAAAAAAAUGGCAAGGGGUACCCCUUAUGAAAUUUUCGAGUGGAAAAUUUUUUUGAAAUUUUUUUCUGAUUUUUUAUUCUUUUUUUAAUUUAAAGCACUAUUUAAGUGAAAAGAAACUUAUUGCAACAAAUUCCCAUCAAAAUAUAUCACAUUUAAAAUUUUUGCUGAAUUGCAGAAAAUUGAGGUAAAUUUUACAUUUUCUCAAACAGGGUAAGGAACUUGGUUCCUCGAAUAACUUCUGGCACAGACAUCUGAGGGCAUGGCCGUCCAAGAAGAAAAUGUAGCCAUUGGUGUCAUCUAUCGACCACAGGUUAAAGAUUGGCGAUCCGUUGGAUACCGACCGAGUUAUAGGCAAAAUUUGGCGCAAAAAUGAGGAAAAUUUUACAUUUUCUCAAACAGGGUAAGGAACUUGGUUCCUCGAAUAACUUCUGGCACAGACAUCUGAGGGCAUGGCCGUCCAAGAAGAAAAUGUAGCCAUUGGUGCCAUCUAUCGAUCACAGGUGAAAGAUUGGCGAUCCGUUGGAUACCGACCGAGUUAUAGGCAAAAUUUGGUGCAAAAAUGAGCAAAAUUUUCAUUUUUUUUUUAAUUUUCUGAUUUUUUUAUUAUUUUUCACUCUUUUUUUUAUUUCAAGCACUAUUUGAGUGAAAAGAAACUCAUUGCAACCCAUUGGAAUUAAUAUAAAACAAUUUAAUUUUUUUUGCAAAAUUUCUCAAAAAAAUGGCAAGGGGUACCCCUUAUGAAAUUUUCGAGUGGAAAAUUUUUUUGAAAUUUUUUUCUGAUUUUUUAUUCUUUUUUUAAUUUAAAGCACUAUUUAAGUGAAAAGAAACUUAUUGCAACAAAUUCCCAUCAAAAUAUAUCACAUUUAAAAUUUUUGCUGAAUUGCAGAAAAUUGAGGUAAAUUUUACAUUUUCUCAAACAGGGUAAGGAACUUGGUUCCUCGAAUAACUUCUGGCACAGACAUCUGAGGGCAUGGCCGUCCAAGAAGAAAAUGUAGCCAUUGGUGUCAUCUAUCGACCACAGGUUAAAGAUUGGCGAUCCGUUGGAUACCGACCGAGUUAUAGGCAAAAUUUGGCGCAAAAAUGAGGAAAAUUUUACAUUUUCUCAAACAGGGUAAGGAACUUGGUUCCUCGAAUAACUUCUGGCACAGACAUCUGAGGGCAUGGCCGUCCAAGAAGAAAAUGUAGCCAUUGGUGCCAUCUAUCGACCACAGGUGAAAGAUUGGCGAUCCGUUGGAUACCGACCGAGUUAUAGGCAAAAUUUGGUGCAAAAAUGAGCAAAAUUUUCAUUUUUUUUUUUAAUUUUCUGAUUUUUUUAUUAUUUUUCACUCUUUUUUUUAUUUCAAGCACUAUUUGAGUGAAAAGAAACUCAUUGCAACCCAUUGGAAUUAAAAUAAAACAAUUUAAUUUUUUUUGCAAAAUUUCUCAAAAAAAUGGCAAGGGGUACCCCUUAUGAAAUUUUCGAGUGGAAAAUUUUUUUGAAAUUUUUUUCUGAUUUUUUAUUCUUUUUUUAAUUUAAAGCACUAUUUAAGUGAAAAGAAACUUAUUGCAACAAAUUCCCAUCAAAAUAUAUCACAUUUAAAAUUUUUGCUGAAUUGCAGAAAAUUGAGGUAAAUUUUACAUUUUCUCAAACAGGGUAAGGAACUUGGUUCCUCGAAUAACUUCUGGCACAGACAUCUGAGGGCAUGGCUGUCCAAGAAGAAAAUGUAGCCAUUGGUGCCAUCUAUCGACCACAGGUUAAAGAUUGGCGAUCCGUUGGAUACCGACCGAGUUAUAGGCAAAAUUUGGCGCAAAAAUGAGGAAAAUUUUACAUUUUCUCAAACAGGGUAAGGAACUUGGUUCCUCGAAUAACUUCUGGCACAGACAUCUGAGGGCAUGGCCGUCCAAGAAGAAAAUGUAGCCAUUGGUGCCAUCUAUCGACCACAGGUGAAAGAUUGGCGAUCCGUUGGAUACUGACCGAGUUAUAGGCAAAAUUUGGUGCAAAAAUGAGCAAAAUUUUCAUUUUUUUUUUGAAUUUUCUGAUUUUUUUAUUAUUUUUCACUCUUUUUUUUAUUUCAAGCACUAUUUGAGUGAAAAGAAACUCAUUGCAACCCAUUGGAAUUAAAAUAAAACAAUUUAAUUUUUUUUGCAAAAUUUCUCAAAAAAAUGGCAAGGGGUACCCCUUAUGAAAUUUUCGAGUGGAAAAUUUUUUUGAAUUUUUUUUCUGAUUUUUUAUUCUUUUUUUAAUUUAAAGCACUAUUUAAGUGAAAAGAAACUUAUUGCAACAAAUUCCCAUCAAAAUAUAUCACAUUUAAAAUUUUUGCUGAAUUGCAGAAAAUUGAGGUAAAUUUUACAUUUUCUCAAACAGGGUAAGGAACUUGGUUCCUCGAAUAACUUCUGGCACAGACAUCUGAGGGCAUGGCCGUCCAAGAAGAAAAUGUAGCCAUUGGUGUCAUCUAUCGACCACAGGUUAAAGAUUGGCGAUCCGUUGGAUACCGACCGAGUUAUAGGCAAAAUUUGGCGCAAAAAUGAGGAAAAUUUUACAUUUUCUCAAACAGGGUAAGGAACUUGGUUCCUCGAAUAACUUCUGGCACAGACAUCUGAGGGCAUGGCCGUCCAAGAAGAAAAUGUAGCCAUUGGUGCCAUCUAUCGACCACAGGUGAAAGAUUGGCGAUCCGUUGGAUACCGACCGAGUUAUAGGCAAAAUUUGGUGCAAAAAUGAGCAAAAUUUUCAUUUUUUUUUUUAAUUUUCUGAUUUUUUUAUUAUUUUUCACUCUUUUUUUUAUUUCAAGCACUAUUUGAGUGAAAAGAAACUCAUUGCAACCCAUUGGAAUUAAAAUAAAACAAUUUAAUUUUUUUUGCAAAAUUUCUCAAAAAAAUGGCAAGGGGUACCCCUUAUGAAAUUUUCGAGUGGAAAAUUUUUUUGAAAUUUUUUUCUGAUUUUUUAUUCUUUUUUUAAUUUAAAGCACUAUUUAAGUGAAAAGAAACUUAUUGCAACAAAUUCCCAUCAAAAUAUAUCACAUUUAAAAUUUUUGCUGAAUUGCAGAAAAUUGAGGUAAAUUUUACAUUUUCUCAAACAGGGUAAGGAACUUGGUUCCUCGAAUAACUUCUGGCACAGACAUCUGAGGGCAUGGCCGUCCAAGAAGAAAAUGUAGCCAUUGGUGUCAUCUAUCGACCACAGGUUAAAGAUUGGCGAUCCGUUGGAUACCGACCGAGUUAUAGGCAAAAUUUGGCGCAAAAAUGAGGAAAAUUUUACAUUUUCUCAAACAGGGUAAGGAACUUGGUUCCUCGAAUAACUUCUGGCACAGACAUCUGAGGGCAUGGCCGUCCAAGAAGAAAAUGUAGCCAUUGGUGCCAUCUAUCGACCACAGGUGAAAGAUUGGCGAUCCGUUGGAUACCGACCGAGUUAUAGGCAAAAUUUGGUGCAAAAAUGAGCAAAAUUUUCAUUUUUUUGUUGAAUUUUCUGAUUUUUUUAUUAUUUUUCACUCUUUUUUUUAUUUCAAGCACUAUUUGAGUGAAAAGAAACUCAUUGCAACCCAUUGGAAUUAAAAUAAAACAAUUUAAUUUUUUUUGCAAAAUUUCUCAAAAAAAUGGCAAGGGGUACCCCUUAUGAAAUUUUCGAGUGGAAAAUUUUUUUGAAAUUUUUUUCUGAUUUUUUAUUCUUUUUUUAAUUUAAAGCACUAUUUAAGUGAAAAGAAACUUAUUGCAACAAAUUCCCAUCAAAAUAUAUCACAUUUAAAAUUUUUGCUGAAUUGCAGAAAAUUGAGGUAAAUUUUACAUUUUCUCAAACAGGGUAAGGAACUUGGUUCCUCGAAUAACUUCUGGCACAGACAUCUGAGGGCAUGGCCGUCCAAGAAGAAAAUGUAGCCAUUGGUGUCAUCUAUCGACCACAGGUUAAAGAUUGGCGAUCCGUUGGAUACCGACCGAGUUAUAGGCAAAAUUUGGCGCAAAAAUGAGGAAAAUUUUACAUUUUCUCAAACAGGGUAAGGAACUUGGUUCCUCGAAUAACUUCUGGCACAGACAUCUGAGGGCAUGGCCGUCCAAGAAGAAAAUGUAGCCAUUGGUGCCAUCUAUCGACCACAGGUGAAAGAUUGGCGAUCCGUUGGAUACCGACCGAGUUAUAGGCAAAAUUUGGUGCAAAAAUGAGCAAAAUUUUCAUUUUUUUUUUUAAUUUUCUGAUUUUUUUAUUAUUUUUCACUCUUUUUUUUAUUUCAAGCACUAUUUGAGUGAAAAGAAACUCAUUGCAACCCAUUGGAAUUAAAAUAAAACAAUUUAAUUUUUUUUGCAAAAUUUCUCAAAAAAAUGGCAAGGGGUACCCCUUAUGAAAUUUUCGAGUGGAAAAUUUUUUUGAAUUUUUUUUCUGAUUUUUUAUUCUUUUUUUAAUUUAAAGCACUAUUUAAGUGAAAAGAAACUUAUUGCAACAAAUUCCCAUCAAAAUAUAUCACAUUUAAAAUUUUUGCUGAAUUGCAGAAAAUUGAGGUAAAUUUUACAUUUUCUCAAACAGGGUAAGGAACUUGGUUCCUCGAAUAACUUCUGGCACAGACAUCUGAGGGCAUGGCCGUCCAAGAAGAAAAUGUAGCCAUUGGUGCCAUCUAUCGACCACAGGUGGAAGAUUGGCGAUCCGUUGGAUACCGACCGAGUUAUAGGCAAAAUUUGGUGCAAAAAUGAGCAAAAUUUUCAUUUUUUUUUUUAAUUUUCAGAUUUUUUUAUUAUUUUUCACUCUUUUUUUUUAUUUCAAGCACUAUUUGAGUGAAAAGAAACUCAUUGCAACCCAUUGGAAUUAAAAUAAAACAAUUUAAUUUUUUUUGCAAAAUUUCUCAAAAAAAUGGCAA